Long non-coding RNA from Nothobranchius furzeri (turquoise killifish), 540 nucleotides. RefSeq lists it as uncharacterized. NCBI's taxonomy places the organism in Eukaryota, Metazoa, Chordata, Actinopteri, Cyprinodontiformes, Nothobranchiidae. The record is from RefSeq and is a predicted model, not a curated record.
CCAGCCCAGACAAUUCCAUAAAAGGGAAGAGAGGAGGCGCUGAGGGUGUGGCUGUAAGGCUGGGCUCGAGUGACGACACCCAGGCGAACUAGCUACGAGCUAACCUGAAGCUAACCCUGGCUAACCCAAAGCUAAAGCGGAGGUGGGAGCCGAGCUAACGGAUGUAGCCACCUAGCUUCAACCCAACCGGAGCUAACUGGAACACCCAUCGACCUGAACCUCACACGGAGUUUAGGUGGAGGUUUUCUGCGCCUGUUCGUGAGAAGUACCUGUAUUAAAAAAGUUUUAAAUCGAUCUAUUAAAAGGUCACCAUGGCAGCCUGUGUGUCAACGUCAGCUACACAAAGCAGCAAGUCCAUUUGGAUCAUUGGAGACAGCUGAGUGAGGCGUGGUGCCCAGAGAGCUGCAGAGACAACCUUGGCCUCCCUGACGUCUGUGUCUCUUGGUUUGGUUGGGGCGGACCAUCGACAUACAUACAUGUGCCGACACUUUGCGCCCUGUUUUAUAAACUGUAGUGUUAAAAAUAAAUGUUUUUGCUCAA